AGGCUCAAACGCACGCGGCUUCCCAAACUCUCUUGCUCCAAUCAUUCAUUCAUUACCUGUUGCUGUUACUAUGAGGAUAUGUUUGGAGAUUUCUGCGGUAAUGUUGUAGUAGAAUACGUAAAUCGUUUCUUUGUUUUGUUGAUUCAAAGGGACGAAAUUAUAUGCACUUUCUUAUUCGAGUGUCGCUCCACCGGAAGGCAGUGGUCCGGUGACUACUGAUUCGGAUUCUUAUGUCUGGUCUCUCGGAUAUCUUCGGAUAGGAUUCAGCUGGCUACGCAUACCGAGAGUGUGGAUCCUAUAAAUGCUGAUGACCUCACUUGUGGUAUCCAUAGGUAAUGUUAGUCUCCAUAUGGUUGCCUCACCUAAGAUGUCUCUGUUACAGACGUGGGUGAAGUGGUGGAACGAACGAUCACUUUAGAGAGAGCAAGCAUAUCCAACGCAGGCAAUGCAGAAACGUCGGGAAACCCUCACGUAGUCCAGCGCAGAAACCGCAGCACCUCCUUCGCUCGCUCCACCAAUGGCGAGGCCAAAUUGAAGUUGACAGUCCCGUCAUUGCCGGCGAGCAUCCGGUACUUGUCCUUCCUCGUGUAGUUGGUGCAUUCGAAGCCAAGCGAGGCCGCCAGGAUCCUCUGCACGUAGUUGGCAACGUCAUGCGGGCUCUUCCCGGCAGAGCACGUCGCCUCCCACGGCAGCUGGUUGAGGAACGUGACCUCGUAGAUUGGCCGGGGGUUCAUGAAGAAGAAGAUGGGGUCCAUCGCCUUCCACCCCCUCGCCGUGGUCGCGUGGAAGAAGCCGACGCGAUAGUUCAUGGCCACCGGCACGAUCCGGUCGGUCAGCUCGGCGAAGAGGGCGCUGAACCGCAGCAGGAAGGGCUCCCUGCAUGUGGUGCCCUCGGGGCACACCACCAGGUCGCCUUUGGCAAGCUCGCUCCUGAUGCGCUCCGCGUCCACCUGCCGGUCCCUGCUCAACCGGACGGUGCGGAUCGGUGACAGGAUCUCCGACAGCCAGGAUAUGGAGUACGUGACGGCCGGGACCUUGCGACCGAGGACCGUCGACAGGACCACCGGAUCCAUGAGGGUGCGGUGGGUGCACACGAAGAGGACGCCGGUGGUAGAGCCGGAGACGGGUGGCGGCGGCCGGCCUCUCACGAUGAGCGCUCCGCCGAACGGGCGUGCGAUGUAAGGGAUGACCCAUAUGGGGACGGUCAGACCCACCGCGAUGCGGACGAAGGCGAGCACUAUACCAAAUGGUAUCCACAAAAUGGUGAGGAGUGCUGUGAAUGGCGUGGGACGGCGCACGAGGCGGCCGUCAUGGAAGAUCACCGGCGGCGGUCGUCUUUGUUCUUCCUCGUUGUGCACCGGGUCAGCGGAGACUGGCAUGCGAUGUAGUUCCUGCUCACGUACCAAAUGUUGUUAUUUGCUCUGUUUAAGGAUAGUUAUCUACUCUGUUUAUACUUGAAGAA
Long non-coding RNA from Musa acuminata AAA Group (dessert banana), 1462 nucleotides. RefSeq lists it as uncharacterized. The record is from RefSeq and is a predicted model, not a curated record. The transcript is spliced from 2 exons. Lineage: Eukaryota; Viridiplantae; Streptophyta; Magnoliopsida; Zingiberales; Musaceae.